GUCCACGCCCUAAACGAUGGAUGCUAGACGUAGGAGGUAUCGACCCCUCCUGUGUCGCAGCUAACGCACUAAGCAUCCCGCCUGGGGACUACGGCCGCAAGGUUGAAACUCAAAUGAAUUGACGGGGACCCCGCACAAGCGGUGGAGCAUGUGGAUUAAUUCGAUACUAACCGAAGAACCUUACCCAGGUUUGACAUCGCGAGUAAGCCAUAGAGAUAUGGCCCUCUCCCACAAGGAGACUCAAAGACAGAUGUUGCAUGGCUGUCGU
This 268-nucleotide ribosomal RNA is filed under the name uncultured bacterium. Its description in RNAcentral is "partial 16S ribosomal RNA". It matches the Rfam family "Bacterial small subunit ribosomal RNA", at positions 793 to 1055 of the family's 1533-position model. The record is from RNAcentral.